This 460-nucleotide ribosomal RNA is filed under the name uncultured bacterium. Its description in RNAcentral is "partial 16S ribosomal RNA". It matches the Rfam family "Bacterial small subunit ribosomal RNA", at positions 338 to 795 of the family's 1533-position model. The record is from RNAcentral.
CCUACGGGGGGCAGCAGUGAGGAAUAUUGGUCAAUGGGCGUAAGCCUGAACCAGCCAAGUCGCGUGAGGGACGAAGGCUCUAUGGAUUGUAAACCUCUUUUAUAAGGGAAUAAUGAGCGGGACGUGUCCCGUUUUGUCUGUACCUUAUGAAUAAGGAUCGGCUAACUCCGUGCCAGCAGCCGCGGUAAUACGGAGGAUCCGAGCGUUAUCCGGAUUUAUUGGGUUUAAAGGGUGCGUAGGCGGUCUUUUAAGUCAGCGGUGAAAGUCUGUGGCUCAACCAUAGAAUUGCCGUUGAAACUGGGAGGCUUGAGUAUGUUUGAGGCAGGCGGAAUGCGUGGAGUAGCGGUGAAAUGCUUAGAUAUAACGCAGAACCCCGAUAGCGAAGGCAGCCUGCCAGGCCAUGACUGACGCUGAUGCACGAGAGCGUGGGGAGCAAACAGGAUUAGAUACCCGAGUAGUC